UACGGAGGGUGCAAGCGUUAUCCGGAUUCACUGGGUUUAAAGGGUGCGUAGGUGGAGUGGUAAGUCAGUGGUGAAAUCUCCAAGCUUAACUUGGAAACUGCCGUUGAUACUAUCAUUCUUGAAUAUCGUGGAGGUAAGCGGAACACGUCAUGUAGCGGUGAAAUGCUUAGAUAUGACAUAGAACACCGAUUGCGAAGGCAGCUUGCUACACGAUCAUUGACACUGAGGCACGAAAGCGUGGGGAUCAAACAGG
RNAcentral lists this ribosomal RNA (253 nucleotides) under uncultured bacterium. Its description in RNAcentral is "partial 16S ribosomal RNA". It matches the Rfam family "Bacterial small subunit ribosomal RNA", at positions 524 to 776 of the family's 1533-position model. The record is from RNAcentral.